RNAcentral lists this ribosomal RNA (384 nucleotides) under uncultured bacterium. Its description in RNAcentral is "bacterial SSU rRNA". It matches the Rfam family "Bacterial small subunit ribosomal RNA", at positions 30 to 416 of the family's 1533-position model. The record is from RNAcentral.
AUUGAACGCUGGCGGAAUGCUUUACACAUGCAAGUCGAACGGCAGCACGGGGCAACCUGGUGGCGAGUGGCGAACGGGUGAGUAAUAUAUCGGAACGUGCCCAAUCGUGGGGGAUAACGUAGCGAAAGUUACGCUAAUACCGCAUACGAUCUACGGAUGAAAGCGGGGGAUCGCAAGACCUCGCGCGAAUGGAGCGGCCGAUAUCAGAUUAGGUAGUUGGUGGGGUAAAGGCUCACCAAGCCAACGAUCUGUAGCUGGUCUGAGAGGACGACCAGCCACACUGGAACUGAGACACGGUCCAGACUCCUACGGGAGGCAGCAGUGGGGAAUUUUGGACAAUGGGCGCAAGCCUGAUCCAGCCAUUCCGCGUGCAGGAUGAAAGGG